Podarcis lilfordi (Lilford's wall lizard) is the source of this 74-nucleotide non-coding RNA. The record is from the annotation of a GenBank genome assembly. Lineage: Eukaryota; Metazoa; Chordata; Lepidosauria; Squamata; Lacertidae.
UGACUGAUAGCCCAGUGGGCAGAGCAUGAAACUCUUGAUCUCAGUGUCGUGGGUUUGAACCCCACAUUUGGCAA